UACGUAGGGUGCAAGCGUUGUCCGGAAUUAUUGGGCGUAAAGAGCUCGCAGGUGGCCUGUCGCGUCGGCUGUGAAAACUCGGGGCUCAACUCCGAGCUUGCAGUCGAUACGGGCAGGCUAGAGUUCGGCAGGGGAGACUGGAAUUCCUGGUGUAGCGGUGAAAUGCGCAAAUAUCAGGAGGAACACCGGUGGCGAAGGCGGGUCUCUGGGCCGAUACUGACACUGAGGAGCGAAAGCGUGGGGAGCGAACAGG
This 253-nucleotide ribosomal RNA is filed under the name uncultured bacterium. RNAcentral describes it as "partial 16S ribosomal RNA". It matches the Rfam family "Bacterial small subunit ribosomal RNA", at positions 524 to 776 of the family's 1533-position model. The record is from RNAcentral.